This 254-nucleotide ribosomal RNA is filed under the name uncultured bacterium. RNAcentral's name for it is "partial 16S ribosomal RNA". It matches the Rfam family "Bacterial small subunit ribosomal RNA", at positions 524 to 776 of the family's 1533-position model. The record is from RNAcentral.
GACGUAGGGCGCGAGCGUUGUCCGGAUUUAUUGGGCGUAAAGAGCUCGUAGGCGGCUCGUUGCGUCAAUCGUGAAACCUACUGCUUAACGGUGGGCUUGCGGUUGAUACGGGCGGGCUGGAGUUCGGUAGGGGAGACUGGAAUUCCUGGUGUGAGCGGUGAAAUGCGCAGAUAUCAGGAGGAACACCGGUGGCGAAGGCGGGUCUCUGGGCAAUAACUGACGCUGGAGGAGCGAAAGCGUGGGGAGCGAACAGG